GGAGGACACAAAGAUGGCGAGCGACACAGGAUAGUCCUUAACAAUUAAGCGUGACUAAUUUUAAUAACAAAUGAGAAUAUGAUGUGACAUCCGUUCCAAAUCCUGUCGUUCCAAGUAACUUCUUAAGCAUCUUUCACGAUACAGCCUCUGCUUGAAAGGAAUUAAAACAGGUACAAGCAUGGAAGGAGACGUUGCUAUCAUAUUUCAAGAAUAAGAAAAUGCUGUUUUGUGUGGUUGUGCAGCAGGCAAUGAAAUGAGCUUACAUUCAAGCUUCCGUGUUUUACUGAAACAACAGUCACAGAUGCAGUAGAUGUUAAAGGUUGAAAGACGAGUGCAGUAAAAGCAUUAUGAGGACAAGAAGAAAACGUAAAUAUUUGUGUUGUUUCAUUCUUUGUUGUGGUGGCAGAAACAGCCCCCUCUUUCUAAGAUCUUUAUGUGGAAAAGCACUUACUCUCUUCCCAGAGCACUGUUUUUAAAAGUAAGGAAGGACUGAAAGGAGGAGAAACUAUGGGUUGCCUUUUCCUUCUGUCAUCUGUUCAGCAUUUCAUAGUAAAACCUUUGUUGAUUUAAUAAACAUAAUGGAUACUCAUUAAAAUAUUCAAACAGCAUAGAAAGGGACAAAGAAGAAAGCAGCCAGCAAUCCAAGUACCACUAUCCAGAAAUAGCCAGUGAUAUCUCUUUAUGUGUGGAAAUACAAUGAAAAUUGAGUGAGAGACAUACACAGAGGAAGAAGAAAAAGAAAGCAAUCAAACUCCAAAUGGUGCUGCAAACUGAACCCCACAUGGACACGCCAUUCUUCUGAGGACCCUUAGAUCCACCCCAGGAGGAGCCCUAGCUGCUGUUCCCCAUUCGAUGCCCCUUUUCAGCCAUUGUUCCAGUCUUCACUCUUAAAAAUAUGCUAUAGUGAGGGGAGGAGCCAAGAUGGCCGAAUAGGAACAGCUCCGGUCUACAGCUCCCAGCGUGAGCGACGCAGAAGACGGGUGAUUUCUGCAUUUCCAUCUGAGGUACCGGGUUCAUCUCACUAGGGAGUGCCAGACAGUGGGCGCAGGCCAGUGGGUGUGCGCACCGUGCGCGAGCCGAAGCAGGGCGAGGCAUUGCCUCACCUGGGAAGCGCAAGGGGUCAGGGAGUUCCCUUUCCGAGUCAAAGAAAGGGGUGAUGGACGCACCUGGAAAAUCGGGUCACUCCCACCCGAAUAUUGCGCUUUUCAGACCGGUUUAAGAAACGGCGCACCAUGAGACUAUAUCCCACACCUGGCUCAGAGGGUCCUACGCCCACGGAAUCUCGCUGAUUGCUAGCACAGCAGUCUGAGAUCAAACUGCAAGGCGGCAACGAGGCUGGGGGAGGGGCGCCCGCCAUUGCCCAGGCUUGCUUAGGUAAACAAAGCAGCCGGGAAGCUCGAACUGGGUGGAGCCCACCACAGCUCAAGGAGGCCUGCCUGCCUCUGUAGGCUCCACCUCUGGGGGCAGGGCACAGACAAACAAAAAGGCAGCAGUAACCUCUGCAGACUUAAGUGUCCCUGUCUGACAGCUUUGAAGAGAGCAGUGGUUCUCCCAGCACGCAGCUGGAGAUCUGAGAACGGGCAGACUGCCUCCUCAAGUGGGUCCCUGACCCCUGACCCCCGAGCAGCCUAACUGGGAGGCACCCCCCAGCAGGGGCACACUGACACCUCACACAGCAGGGUAUUCCAACAGACCUGCAGCUGAGGGUCCUGUCUGUUAGAAGGAAAACUAACAACCAGAAAGGACAUCUACACCGAAAACCCAUCUGUACAUCACCAUCAUCAAAGACCAAAAGUAGAUAAAACCACAAAGAUGGGGAAAAAACAGAACAGAAAAACUGGAAACUCUAAAACGCAGAGCGCCUCUCCUCCUCCAAAGGAACGCAGUUCCUCACCAGCAACAGAACAAAGCUGGAUGGAGAAUGAUUUUGACGAGCUGAGAGAAGAAGGCUUCAGACGAUCAAAUUACUCUGAGCUACGGGAGGACAUUCAAACCAAAGGCAAAGAAGUUGAAAACUUUGAAAAAAAUUUAGAAGAAUGUAUAACUAGAAUAACCAAUACAGAGAAGUGCUUAAAGGAGCUGAUGGAGCUGAAAACCAAGGCUCGAGAACUACGUGAAGAAUGCAGAAGCCUCAGGAGCCGAUGCGAUCAACUGGAAGAAAGGGUAUCAGCAAUGGAAGAUGAAAUGAAUGAAAUGAAGCGAGAAGGGAAGUUUAGAGAAAAAAGAAUAAAAAGAAAUGAGCAAAGCCUCCAAGAAAUAUGGGACUAUGUGAAAAGACCAAAUCUACGUCUGAUUGGUGUACCUGAAAGUGAUGUGGAGAAUGGAACCAAGUUGGAAAACACUCUGCAGGAUAUUAUCCAGGAGAACUUCCCCAAUCUAGCAAGGCAGGCCAACGUUCAGAUUCAGGAAAUACAGAGAACGCCACAAAGAUACUCCUCGAGAAGAGCAACUCCAAGACACAUAAUUGUCAGAUUCACCAAAGUUGAAAUGAAGGAAAAAAUGUUAAGGGCAGCCAGAGAGAAAGGUCGGGUUACCCUCAAAGGGAAGCCUAUCAGACUAACAGCAGAUCUCUCGGCAGAAACCCUACAAGCCAGAAGAGAGUGGGGGCCAAUAUUCAACAUUCUUAAAGAAAAGAAUUUUCAACCCAGAAUUUCAUUUCCAGCCAAACUAAGCUUCAUAAGUGAAGGAGAAAGAAAAUACUUUACAGACAAGCAAAUGCUGAGAGAUUUUGUCACCACCAGGCCUACCCUAAAAGAGCUCCUGAAGGAAGCACUAAACAUGGAAAGGAACAACCGGUACCAGCCGCUGCAAAAUCAUGCCAAAAUGUAAAGACCAUCGAGACUAGGAAGAAACUGCAUCAACUAAUGAGCAAAAUCACCAGCUAACAUCAUAAUGACAGGAUCAAAUUCACACAUAACAAUAUUAACUUUAAAUAUAAAUGGACUAAAUUCUGCAAUUAAAAGACACAGACUGGCAAGUUGGAUAAAGAGUCAAGACCCAUCAGUGUGCUGUAUUCAGGAAACCCAUCUCACGUGCAGAGACACACAUAGGCUCAAAAUAAAAGGAUGGAGGAAGAUCUACCAAGCAAAUGGAAAACAAAAAAAGGCAGGGGUUGCAAUCCUAGUCUCUGAUAAAACAG
Long non-coding RNA from Homo sapiens (human), 3139 nucleotides. Ensembl annotates it as CLCA4 antisense RNA 1. Its record names the gene CLCA4-AS1. The record is from Ensembl. NCBI's taxonomy places the organism in Eukaryota, Metazoa, Chordata, Mammalia, Primates, Hominidae.